GUGCUCACAAGGACGUUCAUCCUGCCGCGUGGCUGAGAUGGGAAAAUGUGAGCUACAUCACAAGUAUUGCCUUGGGAGUGUCCCACUGCAGGCCCCAUGGGACACUACAGUUUUCAAUACAACA
Molecule: small nucleolar RNA, 124 nt
Filed under: Tinamus guttatus (white-throated tinamou)
Lineage: Eukaryota; Metazoa; Chordata; Aves; Tinamiformes; Tinamidae
Description: Small Cajal body specific RNA 23
Rfam family: Small Cajal body specific RNA 23
About the family: scaRNAs are a specific class of small nuclear RNAs which localise to the Cajal bodies and guide the modification of RNA polymerase II transcribed spliceosomal RNAs U1, U2, U4, U5 and U12. ACA11 belongs to the H/ACA box class of guide RNAs as it has the predicted hairpin-hinge-hairpin-tail structure,the conserved H/ACA-box motifs and is found associated with GAR1.
Source: Rfam by way of RNAcentral